CAAGAAUGGUUCGCUUUAACCAACAACUUGACGACAAAAGGAUCAUAAUAACUGGCACUCCUACUGAAUCAUUUACAAUCAACCUAAAGAAUUGGAAUCAACAUGCAAAUCAUUCAAAUUGUGAACAUGGAAUCGUCGCUUUUCAUAUGAGUGUUAGGUUUUGGUAUUGGGAUAAGCAUGUAGUCUUUGAUUCUAAGCCCUUGGGUGAUUCGUGGAAAAUCAAUCGCAAACUCGGACGUUUUCCAUUUGCAAAGCAUGUUCAAUUUAAGUUACAAAUCACAAUACGCAGAAAUAGAUAUGAGCUUCUCUUUGGCGAUGGCAGUACUCACAACUGGAAUCUCGCAAAUGAAAACGUAGAUAUGUUGUGCAUUAACGGUGAUCUGACAGUCCACAACAUUCUGACAACAUAAAAAUCACUGUAUUAACUUCAAGCACAGCGCAGGAGAGAGCCGCCUUUUAAAGAAAUUUAAACAUAAAAUACUGACACGUUUUUAAAACGCUUCAGUGUGUUAAAUAAAUC
Long non-coding RNA from Physella acuta, 520 nucleotides. RefSeq lists it as uncharacterized. Lineage: Eukaryota; Metazoa; Mollusca; Gastropoda; Physidae. The record is from RefSeq and is a predicted model, not a curated record.